RNAcentral lists this ribosomal RNA (402 nucleotides) under uncultured bacterium. Its description in RNAcentral is "bacterial SSU rRNA". It matches the Rfam family "Bacterial small subunit ribosomal RNA", at positions 917 to 1322 of the family's 1533-position model. The record is from RNAcentral.
GGGCCCGCACAAGCGGUGGAGCAUGUGGUUUAAUUCGAUGAUACGCGAGGAACCUUACCAGGGCUUAAAUGUAAGUUGCAUAGAUCAGAGAUGGUCUUUUCUUCGGACUACUUACAAGGUGCUGCAUGGUUGUCGUCAGCUCGUGCCGUGAGGUGUCAGGUUAAGUCCUAUAACGAGCGCAACCCCUGUUGUUAGUUGCCAGCGAGUAAUGUCGGGAACUCUAACAAGACUGCCGGUGCAAACCGUGAGGAAGGUGGGGAUGACGUCAAAUCAUCACGGCCCUUACGUCCUGGGCCACACACGUGCUACAAUGGCCGGUACAGAGAGCAGCCACUACGCGAGUAGGAGCGAAUCUUCAAAACCGGUCUCAGUUCGGAUCGGAGUCUGCAACUCGACUCCAUG